GAUGAACGCUGGCGGCGUGCCUAAUACAUGCAAGUCGAGCGAACAGACGAGGAGCUUGCUUCUCUGACGUUAGCGGCGGACGGGUGAGUAACACGUGGAUAACCUACCUAUAAGACUGGGAUAACUUCGGGAAACCGGAGCUAAUACCGGAUAAUAUUUUGAACCGCAUGGUUCAAUAGUGAAAGACGGUCUUGCUGUCACUUAUAGAUGGAUCCGCGCUGCAUUAGCUAGUUGGUAAGGUAACGGCUUACCAAGGCAACGAUGCAUAGCCGACCUGAGAGGGUGAUCGGCCGCACUGGAACUGAGACACGGUCCAGACUCCUACGGGAGGCAGCAGUAGGGAAUCUUCCGCAAUGGGCGAAAGCCUGACGGAGCAACGCCGCGUGAGUGAUGAAGGUCUUCGGAUCGUAAAACUCUGUUAUUAGGGAAGAACAUAUGUGUAAGUAACUGUGCACGUCUUGACGGUACCUAAUCAGAAAGCCACGGCUAACUACGUG
RNAcentral lists this ribosomal RNA (497 nucleotides) under uncultured bacterium. RNAcentral describes it as "partial 16S ribosomal RNA". It matches the Rfam family "Bacterial small subunit ribosomal RNA", at positions 28 to 507 of the family's 1533-position model. The record is from RNAcentral.